GUUUUUCUUCUUCAACAAACCGUGUAGCCAUUUUUGAGAGAAGAAAAGCUUUGGUUAGCUAGGGUUCAUCAAUAGAUCAAGAACGUGUUGUCAAUCGCAGGAAAGAAAAGAUUUCUGAGUAGGUCAUUGUACUUCGAUAUGUCUGCAAAUUAGUCCUAUUACAAUUUUGUGGGCCCAGAAGAUCGGAUCAAC
Long non-coding RNA from Gossypium arboreum, 192 nucleotides. RefSeq lists it as uncharacterized. The transcript is spliced from 3 exons. NCBI's taxonomy places the organism in Eukaryota, Viridiplantae, Streptophyta, Magnoliopsida, Malvales, Malvaceae. The record is from RefSeq and is a predicted model, not a curated record.